GGAGUGAAGCCCUCUAUAGAUCAACCACGUGGGAGAAGCAACUCAUGAGGUAGCAUGUCAUCUCUAAACCUACAAAUGUGGCACAAGGAAUUCCGCAGAAGAACAAGUUGCUCUCUGACAAGAAGAAAAGCUGGUCCCAGGAAUACGAUGUUUGGGUGUUUUCGAAAAGACAGCCAGUCUCAGCAGACUGUUCAAUAAAUGCUUCAUACCCAGGAUGAAGGGAGACAUUAUGGGAUGCCCAGGGGGCUUUGGAAAUCAAAUACAAUGUUUGAGUAGCACAAUUUGAGGUGGCAUCCUGUUAUUACAGAAAUAUCUUUCAUAAAUUAUGAUUUUUUUUCAACAAAUGGAAGUAAUGCAACACCUAUUUGGUAUACUCAUCAUAUACGUUAAAUCUAACAAUGGCAUAUAAUUGAUAACAUCAGCAGACAGAUUCUGCAGAAAGAAACCAAAUCUAACUCGGUUCAACAAAUUCUUGAUUCAUCAGAUUUGUUUUAAGAUGUGACUUCCGGCUGUUUCAACAGAACGACACUACCUGCAAGUGUGCACUAACCUAGAGAAGGUUCAGACAUAAACACUCAUGUGCCAUGUUGACGAUGUACUCUAAUACAACCUUUUUGGAGGACAAUUUUUAAGUAUGGUAAAGUCUCUAAAAUGGACUUAACUAUUUGUCCCACAAUAUCUUUCUAAUUGUUUUUUGGAGACAGGGUCUCACCAUGUC
Long non-coding RNA from Cercocebus atys (sooty mangabey), 718 nucleotides. RefSeq lists it as uncharacterized. NCBI's taxonomy places the organism in Eukaryota, Metazoa, Chordata, Mammalia, Primates, Cercopithecidae. The transcript is spliced from 3 exons. The record is from RefSeq and is a predicted model, not a curated record.